UAGGGAAUCUUCCACAAUGGACGCAAGUCUGAUGGAGCAACGCCGCGUGAGUGAAGAAGGUCUUCGGAUCGUAAAGCCCUGUUGUUGGUGAAGAAGGAUAGAGGCAGUAACUGGUCUUUAUUUGACGGUAAUCAACCAGAAAGUCACGGCUAACUACGUGCCAGCAGCCGCGGUAAUACGUAGGUGGCAAGCGUUGUCCGGAUUUAUUGGGCGUAAAGCGAGCGCAGGCGGAAUGAUAAGUCUGAUGUGAAAGCCCACGGCUCAACCGUGGAACUGCAUCGGAAACUGUCAUUCUUGAGUGCAGAAGAGGAGAGUGGAACUCCAUGUGUAGCGGUGGAAUGCGUAGAUAUAUGGAAGAACACCAGUGGCGAAGGCGGCUCUCUGGUCUGCAACUGACGCUGAGGCUCGAAAGCAUGGGGUAGCGAACAGGAUUAGAUACCCUGGUAGUCCAUGCCGUAAACGAUGAGCGCUAGGUGUUGGGGACUUUCCGGUCCUCAGUGCCGCAGCAAACGCAUUAAGCGCUCCGCCUGGGGAGUACGACCGCAAGGUUGAAAC
RNAcentral lists this ribosomal RNA (555 nucleotides) under uncultured bacterium. Its description in RNAcentral is "partial 16S ribosomal RNA". It matches the Rfam family "Bacterial small subunit ribosomal RNA", at positions 355 to 900 of the family's 1533-position model. The record is from RNAcentral.